UACGAAGGGGGCUAGCGUUGCUCGGAAUCACUGGGCGUAAAGGGUGCGUAGGCGGGUCUUUAAGUCAGGGGUGAAAUCCUGGAGCUCAACUCCAGAACUGCCUUUGAUACUGAAGAUCUUGAGUUCGGGAGAGGUGAGUGGAACUGCGAGUGUAGAGGUGAAAUUCGUAGAUAUUCGGAAGAACACCAGUGGCGAAGGCGGCUCACUGGCCCGGUACUGACGCUGAGGCACGAAAGCGUGGGGAGCAAACAGG
Molecule: ribosomal RNA, 253 nt
Filed under: uncultured bacterium
Lineage: Bacteria
Description: partial 16S ribosomal RNA
Rfam family: Bacterial small subunit ribosomal RNA
Source: RNAcentral